Molecule: ribosomal RNA, 253 nt
Filed under: uncultured bacterium
Lineage: Bacteria
Description: partial 16S ribosomal RNA
Rfam family: Bacterial small subunit ribosomal RNA
Source: RNAcentral
UACGUAGGGGGCUAGCGUUGUCCGGAUUUAUUGGGCGUAAAGAGCGUGUAGGCGGCCAGGUAGGUCCGCUGUGAAAACUCGAGGCUCAACUUCGAGCUGUCGGUGGAAACUUUCUGGCUAGAGUCCGGAAGAGGAGAAUGGAAUUCCUGGUGUAGCGGUGAAAUGCGCAGAUAUCAGGAAGAACACCCGUGGCGAAGGCGGUUCUCUGGGACGGUACUAACGCUGAGACGCGAAAGCGUGGGGAGCGAACAGG